Molecule: ribosomal RNA, 468 nt
Filed under: uncultured bacterium
Lineage: Bacteria
Description: partial 16S ribosomal RNA
Rfam family: Bacterial small subunit ribosomal RNA
Source: RNAcentral
GACGAACGCUGGCGGCGUGCUUAACACAUGCAAGUCGAACGGAAAGGCCCUGCUUUUGUGGGGUGCUCGAGUGGCGAACGGGUGAGUAACACGUGAGUAACCUGCCCUUGACUUUGGGAUAACUUCAGGAAACUGGGGCUAAUACCGGAUAGGAGCUCCUGCUGCAUGGUGGGGGUUGGAAAGUUUCGGCGGUUGGGGAUGGACUCGCGGCUUAUCAGCUUGUUGGUGGGGUAGUGGCUUACCAAGGCUUUGACGGGUAGCCGGCCUGAGAGGGUGACCGGCCACAUUGGGACUGAGAUACGGCCCAGACGCCUACGGGAGGCAGCAGUCGGGAAUAUUGCACAAUGGGCGGAAGCCUGAUGCAGCGACGCCGCGUGCGGGAUGACGGCCUUCGGGUUGUAAACCGCUUUCGCCUGUGACGAAGCGUGAGUGACGGUAAUGGGUAAAGAAGCACCGGCUAACUACGUG